This 156-nucleotide ribosomal RNA is filed under the name Porites porites. RNAcentral's name for it is "5.8S ribosomal RNA". It matches the Rfam family "5.8S ribosomal RNA". Rfam says of the family: 5.8S ribosomal RNA (5.8S rRNA) is a component of the large subunit of the eukaryotic ribosome. It is transcribed by RNA polymerase I as part of the 45S precursor that also contains 18S and 28S rRNA. Functionally, it is thought that 5.8S rRNA may be involved in ribosome translocation. The record is from RNAcentral. Lineage: Eukaryota; Metazoa; Cnidaria; Anthozoa; Scleractinia; Poritidae.
CAACUUCUGACGGUGGAUCUCUUGGCUCACGUAUCGAUGAAGAACGCAGUCAGCUGCGAUAUGUAGCGUGAAUUGCAGACUUCAGUGAAUCAUUGAAUCUUUGAACGCAAAUGGCGCUCUUGGGUUCUCCCAGGAGCAAUGUCUGUCUGAGUGUCG